This is a long non-coding RNA of Monodelphis domestica (gray short-tailed opossum), 1654 nucleotides long. The record is from Ensembl. NCBI's taxonomy places the organism in Eukaryota, Metazoa, Chordata, Mammalia, Didelphimorphia, Didelphidae.
AUGGAAGAAAGUUCAGGAAACAUGGCGGCAAAGUGCAGAGCCAUGACCCCCCAUCAUCAUCAUCCUGGUAUCUGCUGGGGUCAUUUCCCUCCUUCCUUCUCUUCUCCUUCCUUCUUUCCUAGCUUGGCUUCCAUCCUCCCUCCCUCCUCCCUUCUUUCCUCCCAUCCAUCCUUAAUUCUGUCUUCUUUCAUCCUCCCAUGCUCCCUCCCACCUUCCCUCCUCUUCUUCCCCUUCUUUCUUUCUCUUCUUCCUUCCAUCCUCCCUCCCUCCUUCCUUCUCCUUCCUUCUUUCCUAGCUUCCAUCCAUCUUCCCUCCUUCUCCCUUCUUUCCUCCCAUCCAUCUUUAAUUCUGUCUUUUCUUUUAUCCUCCCUUGUUCCCUCCCACCUUCCCUCUUCUUCCCCUUCUUUCUUUACUUCCUUCCAUCCUCCCUCCCUCCUUCCUUCUCCUUCCUUCUUUCCUAGCUUCCAUCCAUCUUCCCUCCUUCUCCCUUCUUUCCUCCCAUCCAUCUUUAAUUCUGUCUUCUUUUCUUUCAUCCUCCCAUGCUCCCUCCCACCUUCCCUCCUCUUCUUCCCCUUCUUUCUUUCUCUACUUUCUUCCAUCCUCCCUCCCUCCUUCCCCUCUCCCAAAAGCAAAGGCCCCAUUAAUCCUUUCUAGACUGCAAUAAUCUCAUCCUUCAAAAGGCAGAGGAAACAAGGGGAAACCAGGAGGAAAUAGCUGUUGGGGUGGAAAUCCGGGAAUGCUGCCUGCGAGAGGUCGGAGCCAAGAAGGAAAGGGAAGCCCGAAACCCCCAGAAAUGCAGCCUGGAUUUCAAAGGGCUUCAGGGGGGAAGGAAGGGAAGCUGCAGGUCUGAAGAGCCUCCUCUGUGCCAGGCAUUGCCAAGUGGCUCACCAGCUGAUCUCCUGACCUUCAAGGCCUUCCGACUCAGGGGUGGCCUGACUUGCUCGCUCCACCUACAAACCAGGCAUCCUUUCCACUCAACCAAGGGCUCAGGGAGAAGGCAGUUGGAUCCCAUUGACUUGAAUUCUGCUGGGGCUGAGCGCAGGGGGAAGAGAGAGGCUCCAAAGUGAGUUCUGACACCACAAAAGGCCACCACUGGGAUGAGGAGGGAAAGCAGGAUCUGUGCUGCUGUGGAUGCAAGGGGACUCACCAAGGCCCAUCUGUGUCCCCUACACCCCUCCUCUCCUCACCCCUGGACUGUGGCCGUGGCUGCUGGGGGUCCUCCUGCCUCCAGGCUCUGCCCCUGAAGAGACUGCACUCCAGGCAGGUGACACCACGUACCCCUUCUCAGGAACCUGCCCUGGCUCCCCAGUGCCUGUCCUCCAGGAGCAGACAAAAUGCUGGCUGGGCUUCAAAGCCCUCCAGACCUUGCACCCCCCCCCAGCCCACCUCUGCAGUGUUCCUACCCCCCACCUCAGCAUCGCUGGCUUCCGUCUGCCUCCUCUGCCUUUGCUCAGGCUGCCCCUCUUGCCGGGAACACUCCUCCUCCUCUCUCCUUCCACUCAGAAGCCAGAGUUUCCCUUAAGACACAACUCAGGGCCCCCUUUCUAGCCUCCCCUCCCCCCGGACUCUUGUCUUCAUCUUGUCUACAUUGUCCCCACGCAGAUCAGCGUCCCCCAAGAGCCUGAGGGCAGGCGCCGGCCUGUUUCCCUCCUUU